This is a non-coding RNA of Pangasianodon gigas (Mekong giant catfish), 74 nucleotides long. The record is from the annotation of a GenBank genome assembly. Lineage: Eukaryota; Metazoa; Chordata; Actinopteri; Siluriformes; Pangasiidae.
UGGUUGGUAGCUCAGUGGUUAAGAUGUUGGACUUCUGACUAGAAGGUCAUGAGUUCAAAUCCCAACACUGCUAG